RNAcentral lists this ribosomal RNA (407 nucleotides) under uncultured bacterium. RNAcentral's name for it is "partial 16S ribosomal RNA". It matches the Rfam family "Bacterial small subunit ribosomal RNA", at positions 30 to 526 of the family's 1533-position model. The record is from RNAcentral.
AUUGAACGCUGGCGGCGGGCCUAACACAUGCAAGUCGAGCGGAACGGCGGACGGGUGAGUAUUGCUUAGGAAUCUGCCUCGUAGUGGUGGAUAACGUCCGGCAACGGGUGCUAAUACCGCAUACGAUCAGUCGAGCCUAGGUCGGAUUAGUUAGUUGGUGGGGUAAAGGCCUACCAAGGCGACGAUCCGUACCUGGUCUGAGAGGUGGAUCAGUCAGACUGGACCUGAGACACGGUCAAAACUCCUACGGGGGGCAGAGGUGGGGAAUAUUGGACAAGGGGCGAAAGCCUGAUCCAGCCCUGCCGCGUGUGUGAAGAAGGUCUUCGGAUUGUAAAGCACUUUAAGUUGGGAGGCGUUACCAACAGAAUAAGCACCGGCUAACUUCGUGCCAGCAGCCGCGGUAAUAC